AGAGAGACCACCAGGGUGUAUUGAUUUUUUUUAAAAACGUCAUGGAAAGAAAAUGCAAUUUGAAUUUUCUCCCUUUCUCCCACUAGUGGAAAUUAAAAAAAAAAAAAAAAGGAGGAUUGCUAAGACAAACAAACAAAGCCCUGUUCUAAAUACCAGCUUCAUAUAAUACAUUCCACAAGGUACAGCUCCCAAAGCAGUCAAUUGUCUGGCAAUAAAGCGUGAUGGGGCAUGUAACAAUUAUGUAACAGCUGCAGAGACAUCACGGUUAUAAUUUAGUACCUUCUACCACCCUAGGAUAUAAUAAAAGUAAGAUUUAAAUAUAUAUCAAAAAGCUGACAGCACCAGAGCAGGCCUUCUUCAGCAUCAUGACACUGAUCAGCCUUGAAAGGAAAUGAGAUGCUGAAGAGAGGGGACAGGAGGAGUAACAGGAGGAGAAAGAAGAGAAGGAAAAGGAAGAGGAGGAAAGAGAAGAGGAAGCAGCAGAGAGGAAAGGGGAGAAGAAGAGGAGGAAGAAAAAGAGGAGGGGAAGGAGAAAAGGAAAAAGAAAACUCAUUUGCUCUCCUGCAGGCAUGACGCAACAGCUAACACCAGCCAGCCUGCUCUGGACUGAAUUCAGGCUGGGAACGUGGGGGUUUCCUGGGCCUGCAGCCCGCGGGGCACGUUCGACCCACAUUCUGCUGUGUGUGUGUGCCGUGCGACACGUCACCCUCCCAUCUCUGCACAUGCCCUUGAAUAUUUCUGUGCUUCUGAUUCAUCUGGUCCACAGUUUACACCUUGAGCCUCUCAUCUUGUGUCCAGCGAGACGCGUACCGUCCUCGCAUCAGAGCAGGGGCUUCUGGCUCCUGUGCCCCCGGCCCCGCGGCCUCUCCGCCCCUCCCCGCCGCGU
RNAcentral lists this long non-coding RNA (886 nucleotides) under Aotus nancymaae (Ma's night monkey). Its description in RNAcentral is "lncRNA (ENSANAG00000039151.1)". Lineage: Eukaryota; Metazoa; Chordata; Mammalia; Primates; Aotidae. The record is from RNAcentral.